GUCCGGUCCUCCCGCAACGUCAGGUUGUGAACCCCGCCAGGCCCGGAAGGGAGCAACGGUAGCAGCCAAAGCGUGUGCCGGGAUGAGGCUGGACCGG
RNAcentral lists this signal recognition particle RNA (97 nucleotides) under Gammaproteobacteria bacterium. RNAcentral describes it as "signal recognition particle sRNA small type". It matches the Rfam family "Bacterial small signal recognition particle RNA". Rfam says of the family: The signal recognition particle (SRP) is a universally conserved ribonucleoprotein involved in the co-translational targeting of proteins to membranes. Archaeal SRP consists of a 7S RNA and homologues of the eukaryotic SRP19 and SRP54 proteins. Lineage: Bacteria; Pseudomonadati; Pseudomonadota; Gammaproteobacteria. The record is from RNAcentral. RNAcentral also lists the same sequence under 1 other name.